This 164-nucleotide ribosomal RNA is filed under the name Turnera grandiflora. RNAcentral describes it as "5.8S ribosomal RNA". It matches the Rfam family "5.8S ribosomal RNA". Rfam says of the family: 5.8S ribosomal RNA (5.8S rRNA) is a component of the large subunit of the eukaryotic ribosome. It is transcribed by RNA polymerase I as part of the 45S precursor that also contains 18S and 28S rRNA. Functionally, it is thought that 5.8S rRNA may be involved in ribosome translocation. The record is from RNAcentral. Lineage: Eukaryota; Viridiplantae; Streptophyta; Magnoliopsida; Malpighiales; Passifloraceae.
AAAACGACUCUCGGCAACGGAUAUCUCGGCUCUCGCAUCGAUGAAGAACGUAGCGAAAUGCGAUACAUGGUGUGAAUUGCAGAAUCCCGUGAACCAUCGAGUCUUUGAACGCAAGUUGCGCCCGAAGCCUUCUGGCCGAGGGCACGCCUGCCUGGGUGUCAUGC